UGGUCAAGUCUUAACUUAUCCAUUUCUGUAUUGCAUUUGUGUUUGAUAUUUCUCAUGGGUAUUUCAUAAUUUUCGACUUUGAGUUAAAACAGUUUGAGUUAAAACUCUUUUUUAGCGCAUUUCAUCUGUAAAAGAAAACAUGCCUAAUAAUUCUGCACAUGAAUAUAAGGAGUUUUUCUCUUCCAGCUUUCCUGGACUAUUGUAUAGCACUUAUAAAUGAUUAAAUAAAAAAUAAUGGUAGUUAUUAAGAUUGAUAUGGUUUGGAAUUGGUAAAAUGUGCUUGGAAAAAAAUCACAAUAAAACAAUGUUUUAAUGUUUAAGUUUGGAAUAUUAACUGACAUAAAUUAAUGCUAUAUAAAUAUUGUUCAUGUUAACAUAAUGUUUAUAAAUAAAAUCUUAUUGUAAAGUGUUACUAAAUAUAUAUAUAUGUUUGGGGAAUAUAUAUGUAUAUUGUAUAUUGUAUUAUUGAAUGUGAUUUUAAAGUCUAGAUGAUUCGGAUUAACCCUUUAACCGCCAUAUUCUUUAAAACCUCACUGCCAGAGGGAUAUUGUGAAUGCAUGUGCCCGCUGGACACAGUUUACCUGAUGCCACCGGGGUGGUGAUGGCAUUGGUGGCUUGAGCCCGCCAUCGCUGCUUGCAGCUAUAUUUAUUAUUAUUUAGGGCUCAAGCCUGGAGGGCGAGAGCCCUAUUGUUUUCCUUAGGAUUAUUUUUUAUUAUUAUUAUUAUUUUUUUCCAACGUUACGGGGGCUUUUGGGGUCCUUAACAUGCUCGAAAACUCUUGAAAAUUGGCACACACCUUGGAACCUGCGGCCAUUAGGGCUGGGCAGAGACAGAUAUACGGGCGUGGCACAGGGGCUCUACAGCGCCCCCUGGAAUACUGAGGGCCAUAUAUCAUACAUACUUGCACGUAGACACACGAAACUCGGUACACAUGUAGAUCUCAUCAAACCAAACAACUUUCGUACUGCAUGUCAUAGGCUCCGCCCAACAGGAAGUUGGUUAUUUAGGGUUUAGUAUUCAUAUUUUUCGUCAAAGUUGUGGGGGCUUUUGGGGUCCUUAACAUACUCAAAAACUCUUGAAAAUUUGCGCACACUUUGGAAUCUGUGGCCUUUAGGAGCCUGCAGAGGCUGGGACCCGGGCGUGGCACAAGGGCUCUACGGCGCCCCCUGGAUCACAGUCAGAAAUGUUGAUGUAUAGCUCACACAUACUCACACAUAUGCAUAUGAAACUCAGUACACAUAUAGAUCUCAUCGUGCCGAACAACUUUCGUAUUGCAUGUCAUAGGCUCCGCCCAACAGGAAGUCAGCUAUUUAGAGUUAUGUAAAAAGCGCAUGCUCUGGAAUUUGAAAUACUUGUCAUAGGUUUUUUUCUCGAUUGCCGCCAAACUCGGUCAACAUGAUCUCAAGACACUGGGGAUGAAAAAUUGCCAGGGGAUUUUUGAUAUCUCGAACGGUUUGCUCGUGGCGAGGCGUUGAAAUUAUGGCGAGAAAUGAGAAACAGGAAGUGUCUAAUACCGUCCACAUACAUUUCCUGAUUUUAAUCAAACUUCAUCAGAUUAUUCGUUGUAUGAUGUCGAUCGCAUAUAUGUGACCAUUAGGAGUCAAAGUUAUAGCGCCACCAACUGGCAGAAGGAAGUGUGUCAUUUUCAAAAUGAUUUGAAUUCAGCAUCUUAUUAUUACUCGAUUUGCUUCAAACUUCAUCAUAAUAAUGUUAAAACACAGCCGAUAUAAAUCUGCAAGGGGGAUAUUGAUAUCUAAAAAAUUGUUGGCGUGGCAACAUGUCAAACUGGAAUACUUCUCAGGUGAUUUUGAGGCAAAUAACAUACUUAGAAUUUCACAAAACUCUGAACACACAUCAGUAUUUCUGAUAGGAACUUAAAUUGUGAAUGGAUUUUGGAUAGCUUGAAUGGUUUUGCCGUGGUGAUUUUUUUAAAUGACCUUACAAAGGGAAUCAUUAUUGUAUUUUUAAAUUGCAGCUUCCAAACACGUCAAAGAAUUUUUUCAUACAGAUGAAAAAGUCAUUCUGAGGAAAUAUGCAUAGUUUAACGACUUUACAACACUGUAUGGAUAACAGAAAAUUAAAAAACUGUCAGACAUCUCAUCUCACUCUGUCCCUCUGUUUUAGUAUAUGUGCUUCAGACUUCCAUUGUCUGAGAGAAAUUGCGCCCCUACAGGUUCAAUUCCCGGACUUUUACUUUCACUUUUAAAUCGGUUAAAAAUACAAACAAAUACUUAGAUUUAAUUCACACUGACAAGCUAAACCAACAUAUCUGAUUAUUACCGGUUCAGGGCUCAUGGAUAAAUUAUUUCUGGCCAGAGAUACGUGAGAAAUAGGAGAGAUGAAUCACCGCUGUGACCACGAGCGUCUGGAGUAAAGAGCUCAGAAAAAACGAAUUUAUUCCUGUUUUAAAGCUUUUAAAAAUAAAUUAUUACAGCGAUAUCACACAAUCAACCAAUUAGAACACACCAAGAGCUAAAUUCAGAUGUUUUUGAACUGUUUGUGUGAAAAUGAAAUAUUUGUGGCUGCCUAUCUGAAAUCACGCCUCCGAUCAGCGCGUACAGUGUCGAGCUCAAAACAAACGAAUUUAUUCUUGUUUAAGAGCUUUUUUAAAUAAAAUAUUACCACAAAUGCACACAAUAAACCCAUUGUAACACUACAAGAGCUAAAUGCAGGUGUUUGUGACCUGUUUAAGUGCGCAAGACUAUUUGAAAGCGCGACUGGCAGAAUAACAUAUCUCUCGAGCUGCAGGAUUCUGUCUUUCGUCGUACGAACGAACACAUCACGGACAAGAUUAUUUCAAAAUACAUAAUAGCUUGGCGAAUAUAAACGAAAACAGCCACGUGAACAUAAACUGGAUCUACUGGAUUUGAAUAUUAAAGUGACCACAUUUACCACUUGCUUCUGUCUUCAAUUUUAAUCUAUAUAAAAAAGGAAACUCAUUCGACUUGGCUGCUUUUUUAAUGUGUGCGUAUUUAUUUAUUUACCUUUUUAUACAUUUUGUAUAAUUUCAUAGUUUGUGUAUUACAAUUAUGAAAACAAAAAUAAAUUUAGCCACUCACAUAGAAAUAGCUUAGGCCUUAACCUUUUUCUGUCAGUUUUAGGGAUUUUUAAAAAUCCUAAAAAAAACUUAUUUGUGCUGCAAAUAAUAAUUUCAAACUCAUUUGAUACUGACCUAUGACAUCCUGUGACAUUAUAUUUAUUUGAAUUUACAUAAUCUCAUAGAUGUAACAGUAAAUCUGUUCAGCUCACAGAUCAAUACUAAGCUGUAAUGCAAGCAGAACUUUCACAAAUGCUUAUGAGUCAUUUAAGGAUUUGAUAACACUGUAAAAUAAUGUCUAAUUUGUUAACAUUAGCAAAUUCAUUGAUAACACUUUAUAAUAACUGCACUCAUUAGUAAAUAGUCAGUUCAUGCUUUAUAAAGCCUUGUCCCAAUA
This is a long non-coding RNA of Carassius gibelio (silver crucian carp), 3434 nucleotides long. RefSeq lists it as uncharacterized. The transcript is spliced from 3 exons. NCBI's taxonomy places the organism in Eukaryota, Metazoa, Chordata, Actinopteri, Cypriniformes, Cyprinidae. The record is from RefSeq and is a predicted model, not a curated record.